UACGUAGGUGGCAAGCGUUGUCCGGAAUUAUUGGGCGUAAAGCGCGCGCAGGUGGUUUCUUAAGUCUGAUGUGAAAGCCCACGGCUCAACCGUGGAGGGUCAUUGGAAACUGGGAGACUUGAGUGCAGAAGAGGAUAGUGGAAUUCCAAGUGUAGCGGUGAAAUGCGUAGAGAUUUGGAGGAACACCAGUGGCGAAGGCGACUAUCUGGUCUGUAACUGACACUGGGGCGCGAAAGCGUGGGGAGCAAACAGG
This 253-nucleotide ribosomal RNA is filed under the name uncultured microorganism. RNAcentral describes it as "partial 16S ribosomal RNA". It matches the Rfam family "Bacterial small subunit ribosomal RNA", at positions 524 to 776 of the family's 1533-position model. The record is from RNAcentral.